This 301-nucleotide ribosomal RNA is filed under the name uncultured bacterium. Its description in RNAcentral is "partial 16S ribosomal RNA". It matches the Rfam family "Bacterial small subunit ribosomal RNA", at positions 509 to 808 of the family's 1533-position model. The record is from RNAcentral.
CAGCCGCCGCGGUAAUCCGAAGGGGGCUAGCGUUGUUCGGAAUUACUGGGCGUAUAGCGCACGUAGGCGGAUAUUUAAGUCGGGGGUGAAACCCCAGAGCUCAACUCUGGAACUGCCUUUGAUACUGGGUAUCUUGAGUAUGGAAGAGGUGAGUGGAAUUCCGAGUGUAGAGGUGAAAUUCGUAGAUAUUCGGAGGAACACCAGUGGCGAAGGCGGCUCACUGGUCCAUUACUGACGCUGAGGUGCGAAAGCGUGGGGAGCAAACAGGAUUAGAUACCCGGUAGUCCCUGUCUCUUAUACA